GGUGGUGUGGCUCAAGUUGUAGAGCAUCUGCCUAGUACCAAUGAGAACCUAAGUUCAAACCCUUGUACCACCA
This 73-nucleotide transfer RNA is filed under the name Dipodomys ordii (Ord's kangaroo rat). It matches the Rfam family "tRNA". Rfam says of the family: Transfer RNA (tRNA) molecules are approximately 80 nucleotides in length. Their secondary structure includes four short double-helical elements and three loops (D, anti-codon, and T loops). Further hydrogen bonds mediate the characteristic L-shaped molecular structure. tRNAs have two regions of fundamental functional importance: the anti-codon, which is responsible for specific mRNA codon recognition, and the 3' end, to which the tRNAs corresponding amino acid is attached (by aminoacyl-tRNA synthetases). tRNAs cope with the degeneracy of the genetic code in two manners: having more than one tRNA (with a specific anti-codon) for a particular amino acid; and 'wobble' base-pairing, i.e. permitting non-standard base-pairing at the 3rd anti-codon position. The record is from Rfam by way of RNAcentral. Lineage: Eukaryota; Metazoa; Chordata; Mammalia; Rodentia; Heteromyidae.